RNAcentral lists this long non-coding RNA (2177 nucleotides) under Nicotiana tabacum (common tobacco). Its description in RNAcentral is "long non-coding RNA (NTAB_LNC001693)". Lineage: Eukaryota; Viridiplantae; Streptophyta; Magnoliopsida; Solanales; Solanaceae. The record is from RNAcentral.
GCUGUUAUGUGACUUGCCGGGGUAGUCAGUUCGGGUCCAGAGUGAAUUCAGAAUGAAAUGAUACACUUAGUCUCAAGGUUGAAAGCUUAAGUUGAAAUGAUUGACCGGAUGUUGAUCUAUGAGUAAACGACUCCGGAAUUGAGUUUUGAUGGUUCUGUUAGCUCCGUUGGGAGAAUUUGGACUUAGGAGCGUGUCUGGAUUGUGAUUUGGAGAUCCGUAGUGGAAUUAGGCUUGAAAUGGCGAAAGUUGAAUUUUUGGGAAGUUUGACCGAGAGUGGACUUUUUGUUAUCAGGGUCGAAUUCCGAUUCCGGAAGUUAGAGUAGGUUCGCAAUGUCAAAUGUGAUUUGUGUGCAAAUUUUGGGGUCAAUCGGACGUGUUUUGAUGGGUUUCGGCGUCGUUUGUAGAAAUUUAAUUUCCUUAGUUUCAAUAGGCUUGAAUUGGGGUGCGAUUCAUGUUUUUGAAGUUGUAUGAUGUGAUUUGAGGGCUCGACUAAGUUCGUAUGAGGUUUUAGGACUUAUUGGUAUGUUUGGUUGAGGUCCCGGGGGCCUCGGUUGAUUCCGGAUGGUUAACGGAUCAAAAGUUGAAGUUGAGUGAUUGCUGAAGUUGGACCCCUGCUGGUGUAACAGCACCUGCGGAGCUUUGAUCGCAUGUGCGAGCUCGCAGGUGCGGGCUGGCUUGCGCACGUGCGAGUUGGAGGGGAGUGUGCAGGUGGUCGCAGGUGCGAGGAGUUUUCCGCACCUGCGUGGCCGCAGAUGCGGUGAGAGGUGCGCAGAAGCGGAAGGUGCGCAGGUGCGAUAGGGAGUUCCGCAUCUGCGGUCAGGGGAACCGCAGAAGCGGAACUGGGUAGAUGGGCUUGGUCCGCAGAGGCGGCUUGGGUUCUCGCAGAAGCGGAGUGAGGGACCGCAGGAGCGGAAUGAGCCGCAGAUGCGUGUGUGAUGUCGCAGAAGCGGAAGUGCUGGGCAGAUUAUUAAAACAAGGGUUUGCGAUUUUGGCUUCAUUUCAAACAUUUCAAGCACGGGUUUGGGCGAUUCUUGAGAGGGUUUUCGAGGGGAUUCUUGAGGUAAGUCUCUUGCGCUCAUUUUUUAUCAAUAAUCUUGCUUCCCCGUUGAUUUUCCCACUUAGUUGGUGUGUAUUUAAGGUGUAAAUUGGGAGUUUGAAGCUAGGAAUUUGGAGAGUUUGAUUUGGGGAUUUGGGUGACGAUUUGGUGUCGGAUUUUGAUAAAUUUGGUAUGCUUAGACUCGUGGUUGAAUGGGCUUUCGGGUUUUGUGACUUUAAUCGAAUUUCGAGACAUGGGCCCGGGGGCGGCUUUUGAGUCGAUUUUUGACUUUUGAUUAAUAACUUAGCAUUUCCUUAUGGAGUUGAUUCCUUUAACCCGUAUUGAUUAUAUCGAAUUGUUUAUGGCUAGAUUCGAAGCAUUCAGAGGCCGUUUCGCGAGGUAAGGGUGUGUUGGAGUAGAGAUUGCACGGAUUGAGGUAAGUAACAGUUCUAAAUUUGGUUCUGAGGGUACAAAACCCUAUAUUACGUGUCAUGUAUUUGGUUUUGAGGUGACGCACAUGCUAGGUGACGGGCGUGUGGGCGUGCACCUUAGGAAUUGUGACUUGGUCAAAUUUCAUGGAACUGUGUAGUUGAAUAAUCUGUUGUUAUCUGUACAUUCUCCAUGUAUUAGAGAAAUUGAACCACAAAUCAUGUUAGCAAUCAUGUUUAGACUAUGUGUUGGCACUGUAGGAACCCACAAAGGUCGGGUACAUGUUGAAUUAUCUGCUAAAUUGGUGUUUUGUACUCGAUCACAGUUUUACUUGUAUAUUACAUCUCAGUCUCUAUUGUUCAUUAUUGAUGCAUAAUAUUAUUGUUGUUUGGGCUGCUUAUCAUGAUUUCUGAGAGCCCAAGAGACUGGGGAGAUUGAUGAAUGAGUGAAGCCGAGGGCCUGAUUGUGAGGAUGUUUAUGGGAUCGGGCUGCACGCCGCAACAUGUUUUACUGAUGUAUGCCAUGAUUAGCUUGUUAUAGCACUUGGGCUGAAGGAGCCCCUCCGGAGUCUGCACACACCCCUAGUGAGCGCAUAUACCUACUGAGUGCGAGUGCCGAGUGCCGAGUGAUUGAGAGGAAUGAGUGAUUGUGAGGAAAGAGUGAUUGUGAGGUUGGAGUGAAUGGGAGGACUGAGUGAUUGUUGCUCUGAGAG